This 495-nucleotide ribosomal RNA is filed under the name uncultured bacterium. RNAcentral describes it as "partial 16S ribosomal RNA". It matches the Rfam family "Bacterial small subunit ribosomal RNA", at positions 28 to 507 of the family's 1533-position model. The record is from RNAcentral.
GACGAACGCUGGCGGCGUGCCUAAUACAUGCAAGUAGAACGCUGAAGGAGGAGCUUGCUUCUCUGGAUGAGUUGCGAACGGGUGAGUAACGCGUAGGUAACCUGCCUGGUAGCGGGGGAUAACUAUUGGAAACGAUAGCUAAUACCGCAUAAGAGUAGAUGUCGCAUGACAUUUGCUUAAAAGGUGCAAUUGCAUCACUACCAGAUGGACCUGCGUUGUAUUAGCUAGUUGGUGAGGUAACGGCUCACCAAGGCAACGAUACAUAGCCGACCUGAGAGGGGGAGCGGCAAAACUGGGACGGGGACACGGCCCAGACCCCUAGGGGAGGCAGAAGUAGGGGAUCCUUGGGAAAGGACGGAAGUCGGACCGAGCAACGCCGCGGGAGUGAAGAAGGGUGUCGGAUCGUAAAGCUCUGUUGUAAGAGAAGAACGAGUGUGAGAGUGGAAAGUGCACACUGUGACGGUAUCUGACCAGAAAGGGACGGCUAACUACGUG